RNAcentral lists this long non-coding RNA (622 nucleotides) under Brassica napus (rape). Its description in RNAcentral is "long non-coding RNA (BNAP_LNC024013)". The record is from RNAcentral. Lineage: Eukaryota; Viridiplantae; Streptophyta; Magnoliopsida; Brassicales; Brassicaceae.
GGGGGACAAAGAACGAAAAAACGUGUUAGGUAGAUAGAAAUAUAAAAGGUACGUACCGAAGAAAGUUUCUUAAGACAUCUAACAUGUAUCAGCAAAGUACAUACAUACAACAUGUAUUAGCAAAAAAACAGCUAAUAUGUAUUAGCAAAAAACAGCUAAUAUGUACUAACUGGAAAAGGAUUGGCUAGUUAGAAGAAAAAAAUGUCAUGGUGGCAUCUUUAUCAAGUUUUUUUAAUACUAACCUGGCAUCUCUAUAUUUGACCCAAAAAAAAAAAAAACCUUGCAUCUCUAUCAAGUUAGACAAUCAGUAUUGGUGCAAUUCUCAAUAGAUCUCUCAGUAAUUAAAAUAAUACAUGAAAAAAAGAAGGUAAAGAAACAGAUGAGAGAGACAAGAACACGUUUCUUUAUGAAGAGAUUUUGUCCGAAAUCAUGAGAAGCGUUGGCCACUUGUCUGUUAUUUAUUGAUCUAUAUUUUUCUAAUAUUAAACUUUUUGUCAGAGAAACUUGAUAGAAUUUAAGAGAAACUUGAUAGAAUUUAUACCGCUGCGGAUGCCAUUAGAGUAUCUCCAACCUAUAAUACUAUUUUAGUGUCAAAAUCACAUUAUUUUAGUGUCAUUUCAGC